Molecule: transfer RNA, 93 nt
Filed under: Mycolicibacterium phlei
Lineage: Bacteria; Bacillati; Actinomycetota; Actinomycetes; Mycobacteriales; Mycobacteriaceae
Also listed under: 1 other name
Description: tRNA-Pro(cgg)
Source: RNAcentral
GGCGCCGCCGGCGGGCGGCUGGCCGCGGCGGUGUCGGCGGCCGGCGGGCUGGGCAUGAUCGGGAUGGGCAGUUCGGCCACGGCCGCGGCGCUG